This 449-nucleotide ribosomal RNA is filed under the name uncultured bacterium. RNAcentral describes it as "partial 16S ribosomal RNA". It matches the Rfam family "Bacterial small subunit ribosomal RNA", at positions 29 to 523 of the family's 1533-position model. The record is from RNAcentral.
AACGAACGCUGGCGGCAUGCCUAACACAUGCAAGUCGAACGAGAUCUUCGGGUCUAGUGGCGCACGGGUGCGUAACGCGUGGGAAUCUGCCCUUUGGUUCGGAAUAACAGUUGGAAACGACUGCUAAUACCGGAUGAUGACGAAAGUCCAAAGAUUUAUCGCCAGAGGAUGAGCCCGCGUAGGAUUAGCUAGUUGGUGUGGUAAAGGCGCACCAAGGCGACGAUCCUUACCUGGUCUGAGAGGAUGAUCAGCCACACUGGGACUGAGACACGGCCAAGACUCCUACGGGAGGCAGCAGUGGGGAUUAUUGGACAAUGGGGGAAAGCCUGAUCGAGCAAUGCCGCGUAAGUAAUGAAGGCCUUAGGGUUGUAAAGCUCUUUUACCCGGGAUGAUAAUGACAGUACCGGGAGAAUAAGCUCCGGCUAACUCCGUGCCAGCAGCCGCCGUAA